GGUUGAUCCUGCCAGUAGUCAUAUGCUCAUUUUGAAGACUAAGCCAUGCAUGUCUAAGUAUAAAUUGUUAUACAAUAAAACUGCGAAAAGCUCAUUAAAACAAUUACAGUCUAUGUGGGCAUAAUUACUACACGGAUACCUGUGGUAAUUCUGGAGCUAAUACGUGAUUUAACAUUCGCUUGAGUGUCACUUAUUAGAUUAGAACCAACCUAUGCUUGCAUAGAGAUCUGGUGAUCCAUAAUAAGGUCGUGAAUCGCAUGGCUAACGCUGGUGAUAUUUCACCUGAGUUUUU
This 292-nucleotide ribosomal RNA is filed under the name uncultured eukaryote. RNAcentral describes it as "partial 18S ribosomal RNA". It matches the Rfam family "Eukaryotic small subunit ribosomal RNA", at positions 6 to 308 of the family's 1831-position model. The record is from RNAcentral.